UAUGAGUCUAUCCUUGCCAUGGCUGGCUGGUUCCCACUGCAAGUGAUGGCUCAACAUACCCCAUACUGGUGAUGCUUCAGUGGGCUCAGUGGUGGCUGUAACAUGAGACAAGCUGUAGGGGGGUCAGGAACUUCUAUUACAUCACAAUGUUGAGGGAUCCGGUGUCACGGUACUUGAGUGAAUGGAAGCAUGUCCAGAGAGGUGCAACAUGGAAAACUUCCCUUCAUAUGUGUGAUGGAAGAAGUCCAACACCAGACGAGCUGCCUACCUGUUAUGAAGGAGAUGACUGGUCUGGAGUCAGUUUACAGGAAUUUAUGGACUGUAGUUAUAAUUUAGCCAACAACCGCCAGGUGCGUAUGCUGGCAGAUCUCAGCCUAGUUGGAUGUUACAAUUUGACUUUUAUGAAUGAAAGUGAAAGGAAUAUGAUCCUAUUACAAAGCGCCAAGAACAACCUGAAAAACAUGGCCUUCUUUGGACUCACAGAGUUUCAGAGGAAAACUCAGUAUCUCUUUGAGAGGACAUUCAACCUGCAGUUCAUUUCCCCAUUCACCCAGUUCAAUGUUACACGAGCCUCGAAUGUAGAUAUCGAUGAGGGGGUACGGAAACGCAUAGAGGAUCUGAAUUUUUUGGAUAUGCAGCUUUAUGAAUAUGCUAAGGACCUAUUUCUUCAACGUUUUCAGUACUCUAAGCAAGAGGAGCACCAGAAGAACCGGCAAAAAAGGCGAGAGGAGCGGAGGCUGCUGCGGGAGCAAAGGGCUCACCAGUGGUCAAAGGAAGAAACUGCGGAAGAAAUCACUGUUACAGAAGAUUACAAUAGUCAGGUGGCAAGAUGGUGAAACUCUUCAGUCUCAGCCAAAAGAAACACAGAUUGGAAAGGUUGUGUACAACUUUGGUAACUCACAGAUUAGACAAGAAAUGACUAUUGUUUGGUAAAUAAGACAAAGUCUAACCAUAGGCCUUCUUUGUCUUAGUAGUUCUUAUUUUCUGUCAGCUAGAAGAAUAUUAUUCUUCCUCAAUGCACAUUAAUUAAUGUUACUAAAUGGCGAUAGCAUAGAUUCCUAUUCAAAAUAAACUUCCUACAAGACCAUAAGCUCUGAGAAUAGCUUGACCAGGUAGCUCUUUCCUUUGCUUUAACAGAUGUACUCUUCAUAAUUUGAGCUACUGAAAUUUGUGAAAAUGUGAAUAAAAAAUUGAAGAAAAAAUUUGAGUCUUACUACACUGUUGAAGAUGGUCUAUGUCAUACUAUCCAUUGUAACUGUAUUAUGUAGCUUUGCACUAAGUGAAACAGAGAAAACCAUGUUGCUCUUGAAACACUUACAAGCUGUGUUUUCAAUAAGAAAAAAAAGUAAUUCAUCCAAGUGAUUUAAUUACAUCAAGCACUAAGUGGCACACAGGCUUAACAUGCUGAUUUUUCUCAUGUGAAAGGCUAUAAUCACUCGUGUUUUAGAAGAGAAAUGAGUUAGCUAGUUUCUACCUAAUUCUAGCAGAUGUUGGUGCAUAUUACCAAAUCUGCUAGUAGGCAACCUUCGUUCUGAAAGCUUGGCAGAGGAAUGGGACAGUUGCUGUAACUGAGAAUUUCUGCAGACCAGGCUUUGCUUAGAUUACUUGACUGAAGGUUAUGAUAUCUGCUUUGACUUUCACAAAAGGUGAAAUCUAUGAACAGGAUAAAGGGAAAGAUUAAAAAAAGGGAAAGAGAAGAGGAGAAAAAGUUUCAGUAUGAAUCUGACAUUUUCCAAAUCUGCUCUAGAAGCAUUGUCUAUAAAAAGGUUCUUUUAUAUUGAGUGACAAGAACUAAUAUGGUUUUCUUUCUAGAGACUGCAUUGGUAAUGAUCUAUCAAAUUUAGAUUUUUUUUAAAGGAUACAAAAGGUGUGUGAACAAAUCUUGCAAUUUGUUACUAAUAUUAAUGUGCUAUCUUCUCCUGUGCACGGUUUUACAAAUGUAUAUAUCCCAAUGCUUGAGUUGAAAAUAUUCUAAAAGUCUAUAGCUUUCCUGUGCAACAGAUCUUUAUCUGGGUUUUUUUAAAUGUUGACUAGCAAAAGAUUUAUAAUAAUUGAUUCUUUCUUCAUAUUUUAGGUUCUUGGGACUAAAAUAGUAUGUCUAGUUCAGAGUUUUCUGCUGUUUGUAAUGGUGUAUAUGCAAAAAUAAUUUUUGAGAUACAUUUUUCCCUUGUUGCAUAAAUCUAGCAUUAUGUGGGCCAUUUUUCAAAGUGGUUUCACCAUCUGUACACCUCCAAAUUUAGUUUUGCAUUCAUGAAUGGUUUUUUGCUUAUCCCCCCAGUUACUAAAAUCAAACUACUCAAUCUAGGUUCACAGAUGUGAGGUUUAGGGGACAGUAAAGAAAAGUUAUUCCAAAAUUAUUUUGCACAGAGAGAGACUGCUUUUGAAAACUUGUCACUACAUUUCCAAAUGUUGUCUUGUUUUCAGGGUACACUGAUAUUUUAGACUAACAAAACACUUGUCAAAACAUCAGUGGCAGUUAGUGCAUACAAAAAUGUAUUGAAAACAGGAAUUCCUACAAAGUGAGUAUAACUAAUACUAAAGGGGAAAAAAGACUACCAACUUGCCUUGUUAGCUGUAGAGUGCAAGAUUUUGUUUGGUAAGACAGCAGCAUUUCAGUCCAUGUUACUUCAUCUCCCUACAUCUCCACCUGGGCAGCUGGUCAUGAGAAGCUAGGCCACAUCCACAAUAUCACAACCCUGUAGAGUGGCUGAUGCUUUGCAGGCAAUAUUUUGCUACUAGGCUCCAGACAGAGCUGGUGCUUUUCUUUCAGAGGUAAGAGUCUGACUUUUCAGUGUAUAGUGCUAGAGCACAGGGAGAAGAAGGACCAAGGGAACAUGAGUUUGUGUUGUACUUCCCUGCUUCUUCAGACCCAACAGCAACUAAGUAAGGAUAAGGAAGAGUGGAUCCCUCUGACACUGUGGUGGGUACUAGGUAGGAAGGAGAAAUGAUUCUGAAUCUGAAGAUGUGUUUUCUGCUUUGCAAAGAUGGGGGAGGCUGUGUUUAUAAGACCUGGAGGAGUAGGAAGGAAGACGAGGAUGGAGCCAAACUGGUGCCAUUAAGAGAGGUGGUCUGAGUUUGAAGAUGCCAGGGGGAGGGGUAGGAGAUGGAGCAGAUGAUGGUGUUGGGAGGAAAGGAGCUUACUUUCUGAGCUGGGAGGGUAAAGGGUGCUUUUGGUUGGGUUGAGUGCAAAGUAGAGCAGUGUCAGCUGAUGUGGGCUGGUGCAGGUAGGGUGGAAGGAAGGGUAAGGGAAAAGAAGAGUUUAGAGAGGUUGGAAAAAAGAGAGAACAGAAAGGAGAUAAACAGUUUUCUUCCCACCUGCCUUUUACUGCCAAGUGACCCUUACUUUUCACUCUGAAAGCAGGUGGGUGCUCUUCUCCUUUCUUCCCUGCUGUUCUUUCUUUUCACCUAAUGAAAUUCCUCCCUCCUCCUCCCCUAGCCACAGUGAUCCAGUGUUUCACUUUGACAGCAUUGCCAUCCCGGGUGAGGGGAGAGGGAUGCUGGGAGCUUGCUGCCUGCAGCAACACCUAUGACUAUGCAUCCAGCACCCCCUCUCCAAACUGCUCCUGCUGUGUGACAUGGAGCAAAUUCUAUCAGGGACAAUGAAAGCAAAGCCUCCGGGUGGCUGAAAAAUUUGUUUUAAAAGUCUGGCCGUACAUUAAUAUUAGGCCUAACCUUUUAGUCAGUUAUCUCCCAGAAGGGAAAACCCAGUCUCUGAUGGCUGCUAGUGUGCAAUGGCAUUUAUGUUAACAAGAGGCAUAAUGCCUGAGAAUUAGUUAAAGUUCAUUCUUGCUGAGCCUUCUUUGCACAUACAGGUGUUUGCACAGGAACAACUGAGCCAGUCAGGCAGUCUCUAAAGGUCAUCAAGACUAAAGACUGCAUCCAAAGCCUUCCCAAUGACGUCAGCAGCUUCAGAAAAACCCACAGUCAGUUCACCUUGAGUAUUAUUAUUAGCAGACGUUCCAAAAUAAUUUAUGCCACUAAUCAGAGGAGCAGGCUGGAUUCAUAGCCCUGUACUCCAAGCUUACAUUUCUGUAACUCCACUGAUUUUCAUUGUAACUAUGUUGCUUUAAAUGAGUUCAGAAUUUAUUUUAGUGUGUUUAUUUCCAAAACUUCACAAGCACUAUUUAAAAAAAAAACAAGCAAAGAUAUUGGAUCGCUCUUCACAUUCAUGGCUUCUUUUAUUAUUGAAUGGAGUAAGAAAACUGUUGCCUCCAUUCUGCUACUGUGAUGCUCCAUUACUCACUUUCCUGUAAUGCAGAUGUUGUUGCUAUUCUUCCACAUCAUGUAUUCACUACUUGCAGCAUAUUUCCAGAUACACUUGAAUGCAGGGUCAUGCUAGGAAAAAAUCCUGCUGAUAUGUUGAGAUUUGGUAGUUUUGUUUGGUGUAAGUGAACAUAUUGUCUGUGGCCUGUAUUUUGUCAAAAGAUGAAAAUCAAGUCUAUCUUCCCUGCAUGCCAGAGUGUAUACACACACAUUAUCACACACACAACUUUGUACCAAUACAGUAUCUUUUUCUCUGCCCCAGUGCCAUUCCUUACAACAGCCUGUGGCAGUGAUGAGAAUGUAAAAAAAUGCAAGAAAAUCUCCUUAGUGACAUAUGUUUUUGGUGGUGGUUAGUGAUGCAUUGAAUCUAGAAAACUGGAUCCAAUUCCUCUGAUGUUUGUGAAGGUUUGUUUCAGAGCCAAACCUCACAGCUGUGCUGUAUCUGUAAUAGGCAAAACAGAACGUCAGGUUUGAACUUUGGGGAAAUUCCUAUAUUUGGUUUCAGACUUGGCAGCUUGGCCCCAUUUCUGGAUUUCAGCCUCUUCCAUUCCUGUCAUCAAGUAAUUGGGCCAAUAGAGCAAUGAUAUAAGCAGUGUGAUAAGUGACACAUGGGCUAAGUACAGACAGUCAAAAAGCCCAAGGCUGGAUCAAUUCAAUCUUCACAGGUUAGUCUAAGCUGUGUAGAUUGAGCUGGUAAGAAGGUAAACAGACAUUCAUUUUUUAUUUCAGAAAUCCAGCCAUGUGCCUGUAGUGGCCCAGGCCACAAGCUGGGGGGUGCUAUGACAUCUCUCCCUGCUUGGCUGAAGCAGACGGCUUGGGCCAAAGCUAGCCUGCCCGCCCUGCGAGAGGAGGUUUGUGGGGAAGGUGCAAAGCAUCCUGGGAUGCUGGGGAACUAAGAGUUAACUUGAAUCUGGGGGGGAUCUGGGACAGAACUUCUGUAAACCAAUUUAGUAAUAGAAGUAACACCCACUAUAGGCCAGAUCUGAAUUUGUUCCGUAAGAGUGUUUCAGUCUCUGGUGUCAAUUAGCGUGGGAGACCUUCCCAGUGGUUAACCUUCUUGCUAUAAGCACUCUUUCUGCUCCAUUAAUGACUUGUUUCUCGGACCCAGAGCAAUUCUGAUUAAUGUCCAUGUUGUACAUUACACAUUAAAUACUAUAUGGAUGCAAAAUGCUCUCUGCAUGGAUUCAUGAACUCCCUUGUGUUGGUUUUCCACCACUGCUAUGUGAAUGACAUCCCUUGAAGUCCUUUUGAUUUUAACCAGGCUAAAUGAGAUCAGAAUGAAGUCCCCAGUGAAUCCCAAACUUCUGCAAAUUAAGACGAUGGAAAGUACUGUGCUGUUCAGUCAGAAAAAGAGAGCUGUUGUGACGGCACUGAAAACUACUCUUCCCUAAUAACAGCAACAAGGUACUCAGGAAAGAGAUCUAGAAUUGUGUUUAAAUGCCUCUUCUAGUUUGGUUUUGCAAUUUUUUUUCUAUGGAUAGCAGUCAAUUCUCUGGGUUAUAACAAACUUCACUUCUUGGCCAUCUCAAGGAGUUUUGUGAUUCGCUUGUCACAUUUCAUAACCUGUCAUUCUCAUGUGAAUUUCAAACUAAUGCUGGAAGGAAAACCAGGACUUUUCCAUCAAUUGUUGUGUUUAAGGUGAAAGGAUAAUUAAUAGAUUUUAAAUCCCUAAGGGACUCUUCUUCUUUGUUUAUGUGCAAUAAUGUGUAUGAACUCUGCUGCUAAAAGAUUGUAUUGUGAGUGGCCAUAUCUACUUUUAUUGCUCUUUAAAAGCUAGUUUGUAGAAGUGAAGAUUUUUAUUGGUGUAAAGCACAAUUUAAUGGAUUACUUCAUGUGUUAAAUCAUUGUGAUGUCAAAAUAAUUGUUUCCCCUUA
This is a long non-coding RNA of Alligator mississippiensis (American alligator), 6137 nucleotides long. RefSeq lists it as uncharacterized. The transcript is spliced from 2 exons. The record is from RefSeq and is a predicted model, not a curated record. Lineage: Eukaryota; Metazoa; Chordata; Crocodylia; Alligatoridae.